Molecule: long non-coding RNA, 1959 nt
Filed under: Salmo salar (Atlantic salmon)
Lineage: Eukaryota; Metazoa; Chordata; Actinopteri; Salmoniformes; Salmonidae
Description: lncRNA (ENSSSAG00000111500.1)
Source: RNAcentral
GUUCAUAUUCCCAAAGUAGCGUAGUAAAUAGAUUGCUGUAUGUAUUUUAAGUUUUGCAAUCCCAUAUGCAGCGUGGUUUAUAAUACAGUCGAAUUUAGCAUGUGAACAGUUUAACUUUUACAUUGAAAUAGGCCUAUGUAUGCUACUGUAUGUACUGUAAUUGCAACAGCAACAAAAAUGCGUAGCCUGCCCUAGAUAAUGUUUCAGAAUUCGUGGGCAGUCCAUCAUAUAUAGGUUGGGGGGAAAGUCGACGCAAAACAUUUGUGAAUUCAAACGUUCUGCUGACAGGUCCACAACAGUUUGCCAACUCUUUCAGAAAUGGCAGUAUUUUGCUAGAUACAGCAUAAAAAUGUAAAGCUGCAAUAUGUAACUUUUCAUUGUUUUUCUAUGUUCAAAAGCUCCAAUAAGUCACUAGUCAUCCAAUGUUAUGCAACAGUAACAAUAUUGCGCCUCUAGCCUGCCUGUGAACCACUGUAUUCAUUAUCCCUGUCAGGUUGGAUUUUCCCGCCAGAUUUUCUGGAGCGCACAAUGAGUGACAUGUUUUCCGUCAGUGAGGAAGCGGUGUGAUAGCUAGCUAGCUGAGCUCAUGGCCAACGUGUAAAGGCGAUAGCUCGCUUAGCGAUAUGGCGGACGCGAAGGGCAAUAGAGCCCGGGCCAAGACGAGAGUAAACCUCAGAUUUGCGUUCAUAUAGUGGAGAGAACUAAAGGAGUUGAUGAGAUUCAGAUACUUAAGACGAGACACGACGGAACGGUUCGUUUGAUCCGAACGGUCCCGCUUUAGAACGUCUCAUGUCGUUGGUUGGAGUAUUCAAGAUUUAACAUGUCAGCUUUAGCCACAAUCUUGCGACGAGAAGGAUCCAUUUAGCCAUUCAAAUAACAGUUCACUAACAUUCUGUGUUCAGCUAAGCAGCUAGUUAACUAGCCAAGAAGAGGGCUAGCUAGCUAUUUUGCUGUACAUAGGUAGCCUGGCUUGCUGACAUUUCAGUCAAAAACUGUACCCUGUUUCUGAUGCAUGUAUUUCAUGACACUUGUUUGCUACAACAAGUGGCAACUCUGUUUCAAAGUUUCAUAAUGGAAUUGUGAAGUGGCACCGUUACCGUGGAAACGUUCUCAGCUUCACAUCUCAUGUUCUUGAUCUGAAUGCCCCAUCUUUAGUCAGCUGUUGUACAACACAACCUUUUAAAACUAGCUAGUUUUAUCUCUGAUCUAGGUCUACAUCUGAGCUGGAGUCCUUCCAGAAUCAAAUACUCACAUACGUGGUUUGCUUUUCCGUCUCCAGUCAAUGAGGCUGGAACCCUACUGGCAGCACUUGACUACAACCUUUGUAACCAUCGUCCAGUAUUGGCGAAUGCGUUGUGCAACAAGAUGUAAGUGUUAGUUGUCCUCUCGGUUGUGAAAAAGAUUUGCAUGAUGAGUUUUUUAUUUUCCUGUGAGUGCAGAGCAGUCUUUAGCGGAGUGGUUGGAAAGGAAAUGGAGGGCUGGAGCAGUGCGAAACCGCUCCAUGAGCGAUGAGUGGGAUUUCAAACCGCUCAACUCCGCUCACAUGCUUUGGUGAGAAACAUUCUGAUAAAGUACUCAACUGAUAUCACCCAGACCAAGGAAAAAUUCACACAAAAAUCGACUUACAAAAAUAUCACUAAAUUGAGUAUUUUUCCUAAUUGGGAUCUAAAUGAAGAAUAAAGUACAGUGUAGUUGUGGAAAGUGUUAACCUGUUAUGUAAACGUACUUGCUAAUAAAUAAUUUGAAUAUUACAGUGGUGAAAUGGCAGCAGUUGUGUAUUGUAAGGUGCAGGAGUCUCCCUGCAAUUCAUGCAGGUGCACCAGCGAGGUUGUCAGGAGACCCUGAGAUAGCUCUCCGGUACUCCAUGAUGUCAAAAAUCACUCCAGGCAGGUAGAUGAAAAGCAGCCAGCUCCAGCACAUCUCCCCUUUCUUCAAAGGAAAGUUCUUGCAAUUUAGCCU